This 313-nucleotide ribosomal RNA is filed under the name Marionina tumulicola. RNAcentral's name for it is "partial 16S ribosomal RNA". It matches the Rfam family "Archaeal large subunit ribosomal RNA", at positions 2036 to 2586 of the family's 2987-position model. The record is from RNAcentral. Lineage: Eukaryota; Metazoa; Annelida; Clitellata; Enchytraeida; Enchytraeidae.
GCAUAAUAAAUUGCCCAUUAAUUGUGGGAUAGCAUGAACGGAUUAAUGAGAGAUAUCCUUUUCCACGUAUAAAAAUAUAACCUAACCUUUAAGUGAAGAGGCUUAAAUAUAAUUAAAGGACAAGAAGACCCUAUAGAGCUUAAAAUAAAACAAUCUAUAAUUGUCACCCUUUCGGUUGGGGCGACCAAGGAAUAAUUCAUCCUUUAUAUAAAGAUAAACUAAUCACAACAUAGAUCCUAUAAAGAUCACAGAAACAAGCUACCUUAGGGAUAACAGGCUAAUCUUGUUAUUGAGUUCAUAUCUACAACAAGGA